Molecule: ribosomal RNA, 502 nt
Filed under: uncultured bacterium
Lineage: Bacteria
Description: bacterial SSU rRNA
Rfam family: Bacterial small subunit ribosomal RNA
Source: RNAcentral
GAUUCUGGCUCAGGAUGAACGCUGGCGGCGUGCCUAACACAUGCAAGUCGAGCGAGAAACUCAUGACCAAUACUUCGGUAGCGUGAAUGAGCGGAAAGCGGCGGACGGGUGAGUAACGCGUAGGCAACCUGCCCCUUGCAGAGGGAUAGCCUCGGGAAACCGGGAUUAAAACCCCAUAAUGCGUCAUGGAGACAUCUUCGAGACGCCAAAGAUUUAUCGGCAAGGGAUGGGCCUGCGUCUGAUUAGUUAGUUGGUGGGGUAACGGCCUACCAAGGCAGCGAUCAGUAGCCGACCUGAGAGGGUGAUCGGCCACAUUGGAACUGAGACACGGUCCAAACUCCUACGGGAGGCAGCAGUGGGGAAUAUUGCACAAUGGGCGAAAGCCUGAUGCAGCAACGCCGCGUGAAGGAUGAAGGCCCUUGGGUCGUAAACUUCUGUUCUAAGGGAAGAUAAUGACGGUACCUUAGGAGCAAGUCCCGGCUAACUACGUGCCAGCCGCCGC